This 400-nucleotide ribosomal RNA is filed under the name uncultured bacterium. RNAcentral's name for it is "bacterial SSU rRNA". It matches the Rfam family "Bacterial small subunit ribosomal RNA", at positions 28 to 428 of the family's 1533-position model. The record is from RNAcentral.
GACGAACGCUGGCGGCGUGCUUAACACAUGCAAGUCGAGCGGUAAGGCCCUUUCGGGGGUACGACGAGCGGCGAACGGGUGAGUAACACGUGGGUGACCUGCCCUCAGCUCUGGGAUAAGUCUGGGAAACCGGGUCUAAUACUGGAUAUGACUCCAUGACGCAUGUUGUGGGGUGGAAAGCCUUGUGCGGCUGAGGAUGGGCCCCGCGGCCUAUCAGCUUUGUUGGGUGGGGGAUGGCCUACCAAGGCGACGACGGGUAGCCGGCCUGAGAGGGCGACCGGCCACACUGGGACUGAGACACGGCCCAGACUCCUACGGGAGGCAGCAGUGGGGAAUCUUGCGCAAUGGGCGAAACCCUGACGCAGCGACGCCGCGUGAGGGAUGACGGCCUCGGUUGUAA